UCCGGUGGUUAUAGCGGAGGGGGUACACCCGUUCCCAUCCCGAACACGGCAGUUAAGCCCUCCAGCGCCGAUGGUACUGGGUUUUCCCGGGAGAGUAGGUCGCCGCCGGAA
Molecule: ribosomal RNA, 111 nt
Filed under: Bacillota bacterium
Lineage: Bacteria; Bacillati; Bacillota
Also listed under: 3 other names
Source: RNAcentral